Molecule: long non-coding RNA, 487 nt
Organism: Oncorhynchus nerka (sockeye salmon)
Lineage: Eukaryota; Metazoa; Chordata; Actinopteri; Salmoniformes; Salmonidae
Exons: 3
Source: RefSeq, a predicted model, not a curated record
AAGGCCCCAGUGCAGCAGCAACAGCACAUGAUGGAGACGAUGAUGAGGAGGAGACCAUCUCUGGAUUCCAGAAGGCAUGAGGUAUCAUGUUAAGACUGUGAAAGUACUAUUUACUCUACAAUGGUGAGGAGUCCUCAUCAAAAUCAAAAAAUCUAAUUUCUUUUACAGGACCCAGAUGCUAUACAGUGGGAAAACCAGCCUGGCAACAUAAGCUCACAAGCUAUCAGAAAGUUGUAUGGCAACCACCUCCGGCGCCAAAUAGAACUGGCAGACAGACAUUCAGUACAAGAAGAAAAAGAUGGAAAAUCUUGCACUGGAGUCCGAAAUAAAAAAGAGGACAAUUAGGAAACUGGACCUUGAAAUAAAAAAACUUGAGAGGGAGCUCCAAGAAGAUGACACAGCUCAAAAUAAAAAUUAGGUAUAUUCUCGUAAAGUCAAGUGAGCCAUGACAUAUGAGCUCUUAUUGUGAGCACACAGGACGGUGGCA